Molecule: ribosomal RNA, 478 nt
Filed under: uncultured bacterium
Lineage: Bacteria
Description: partial 16S ribosomal RNA
Rfam family: Bacterial small subunit ribosomal RNA
Source: RNAcentral
GACGAACGCUGGCGGCGUGCUUAACACAUGCAAGUCGAACGGUAAGGCCCUUCGGGGUACACGAGUGGCGAACGGGUGAGUAACACGUGGGUGAUCUGCCCUGCACUUCGGGAUAAGCCUGGGAAACUGGGUCGAAUACCGGAUAGGACUCCGGACUGCAUGGUCUGGGGUGGAAAGCUUUUGCGGUGUGGGAUGGGCCCGCGGCCUAUCAGCUUGUUGGUGGGGUGAUGGCCUACCAAGGCGACGACGGGUAGCCGGCCUGAGAGGGUGACCGGCCACACUGGGACUGAGAUACGGCCCAGACUCCUACGGGAGGCAGCAGUGGGGAAUAUUGCACAAUGGGCGCAAGCCUGAUGCAGCGACGCCGCGUGAGGGAUGACGGCCUUCGGGUUGUAAACCUCUUUCAGCAUCGACGAAGCGAAAGUGACGGUAGGUGCAGAAGAAGGACCGGCCAACUCCGUUCCAGCCGCCGCCGUAA